Seriola dumerili (greater amberjack) is the source of this 399-nucleotide long non-coding RNA. RefSeq lists it as uncharacterized. NCBI's taxonomy places the organism in Eukaryota, Metazoa, Chordata, Actinopteri, Carangiformes, Carangidae. The transcript has 3 exons. The record is from RefSeq and is a predicted model, not a curated record.
CUAUUAAAAUUAAUCAGGAAACCUCACUUUAAAUAUGGAACCUAAGUUGAAGACUGAAACUGAUGGACCAAUGGACAAAACUGUCGAGAAUAAUACAGACGACCACAAUGGGGAGAGCCAUCAACUUCGUAAUUUGCAACUUGUUGCAAAGGGAGAGGAGUCACAUGCAACACAUUCUUUUAAGUGGGGCUCAACUGGCAAGACAUCCACAUCUGUUACCUGCAACAAAGCAGGAACUGUUGAGGACUCGCUGAAAAGAAGUUCGCAGUUUAGAGAAUUAGCAAAAAAGAACAAUGACAAAGAGCUUGUUGUUGUUGCAGAUGGUAGAGCUAUCAGUUCACACUGUCCAUGCAGCUUAAUUAAAGAUAAAUGUUUAACUGUCAGUUAUGUUAAAACUAA